This 440-nucleotide ribosomal RNA is filed under the name uncultured bacterium. RNAcentral describes it as "partial 16S ribosomal RNA". It matches the Rfam family "Bacterial small subunit ribosomal RNA", at positions 377 to 795 of the family's 1533-position model. The record is from RNAcentral.
CCUCCUUGUGUCCUCCUUUUUUUCUCUUUCCCCCUUUUGUCCCCCCUGCUGCCGCGCCGCCGCGUGUGGGAAGACGGUCCUCUGGAUUGUAAACCACUGUCCCCAGGGACGAAGAUGACGGUACCUGGGGAGGAAGCUCCGGCUAACUACGUGCCAGCAGCCGCGGUAAUACGUAGGGAGCGAGCGUUGUCCGGAAUUACUGGGUGUAAAGGGAGCGUAGGCGGGGAUGCAAGUUGGGUGUCAAAACUACCGGCUCAACUGGUAGUCGCACUCAAAACUGCAGCUCUUGAGUGAAGUAGAGGCAGGCGGAAUUCCUAGUGUAGCGGUGAAAUGCGUAGAUAUUAGGAGGAACACCAGUGGCGAAGGCGGCCUGCUGGGCUUUUACUGACGCUGAGGCUCGAAAGUGUGGGGAGCAAACAGGAUUAGAUACCCUUGUAGUC